AACGAACGCUGGCGGCGCGCCUAACACAUGCAAGUCGAACGAGAAGGCGUAGCAAUACGCUUGUAGAGUGGCGAACGGGUGAGUAAUACGUGGGUGACCUACCCUCGAGUGGGGAAUAACCCGCCGAAAGGCGGGCUAAUGCCGCGUACGCUUCCGUCCUCACGGGGACGGAAGGAAAGCUGUACCGUGGGUACGGCGCUCAAGGAUGGGCUCACGUCCUAUCAGCUUGUUGGUAGGGUAACGGCCUACCAAGGCUACGGAACGGGUAGCUGGGUCUGAGAGGACGAUCAGCCACACUGGCACUGCGACACGGGCCAGACUCCUACGGGAGGCAGCAGUGA
RNAcentral lists this ribosomal RNA (341 nucleotides) under uncultured bacterium. RNAcentral's name for it is "bacterial SSU rRNA". It matches the Rfam family "Bacterial small subunit ribosomal RNA", at positions 29 to 357 of the family's 1533-position model. The record is from RNAcentral.